Molecule: long non-coding RNA, 1414 nt
Organism: Carcharodon carcharias (great white shark)
Lineage: Eukaryota; Metazoa; Chordata; Chondrichthyes; Lamniformes; Lamnidae
Exons: 6
Source: RefSeq, a predicted model, not a curated record
AUGGCCGAGAGCGUCAUUCACUCAGUGAGCGGAAUAGGGUUUAAUUCAGCAGCGAUCGGAGACAUCACCGCCCCAGAGGGAAGUGAACAAACAGCAUCUGCUUAAAGCAGCGCAGCGGUUUGGAGCCGCGUCCGCAGAUAUGCUCAGAGAUUGGCAUUGAGUGUCCGGGCAGCUGGGGCGGAGACGGCGGCUGUUUUGAAUGGGCUCCCUGGAACACGAGCUGCUCCCGGAACAUGGAGUGAGCGGGGGGGAAGGGAGAGGCCAUUCUCGAGCAGUGUCUGGACAGAGUGAGAAGAACUCGCCAUUGAAGAUCAUUGCUGCUUUCUCUCCCCAAACCCGAGUGAAGCUUCCUGGCUUAGUUCCGGUCUCCACUGUCCCUUGUUAUUGGACAGAGAAUGGCGGGGAAAAUAGCCGCACAGUAACAAUGUUUCCAGUUACACAAAGAAGAUCAAUUUCAGGCACCAGGUAAAUGAGUUAUGUUUUCAGCGUGCAAGGAAAGAGUUGAAGGAACCAAAUGAUUCCUCGAAACAUGGAAAAUUGCAACAGGAUGGUUCCAACUCACAGCAAAGAAUUAAAGGAACCAGAAUAAAUGUGAUGUUUUCUCCAGCCAAGUUAGAAUGAAGACUCCUGCCAGCUCCUUCUCUCACACACAAAAUCCAAAAAAAAGGGUGACUUGUUCUGGAGGUCAAUGAAAGCAUAUAUUGGCUGUGUGUUGGAGGCUUGUUGGUCCAGAGCUCUGAACGGAUGGAUGGUCUGCUUUGAAAGCCAAUGGAAGUCUGUAUUGGCUGAGUUAUAUACAUGCAGUUACAUUGUUGGUCUCAUGGUGUGAUUCUCACUAUGGGAUUGUUCAUAAAUGAGAAUAAGAGCGGUCGCAGUUUCAAAUCUCAGAUCUGUAACACCAAGAUAAAUCCAGUUCUACGAUAAAAAGUAUGAAUGAGUCAGAGUCCAGAACUGGAUUCAGAAUCCGAAAAGAUGAUGCUAAGCAACAGAACCAGGAGUCCAGUCUGGCCAGUGAGGAAUCUACCCCGAACCACUAAUGUUCACACAGCCGCUCACUCCAUCUGUCCAAAUGGAAACCUGCCUGAAGGAACAUGCAGCCUGACAAUGUGAAACAAAUAGUUGGAAAGUUCAGCAAUUUCCUACAUUAAAACGCCAAACACACUUGAGAAGUACUCCUGUGGUUGUAACGCAUCAUUGUGACAUCUUGUGGUUGUUGAAACAGCUGAAGAAAAGCAAACCUUUGUUUCCUUUGAGACAAAAUCUAUCCAACGCAGGACGUUCCCUCCUUCUUGCUCUUCCUCAUUCCCUGCACACAUUGGAGUCUGAUCUCGCAGGCUUCAUAGACGCAAUCUCGGCUGCCUGUCAAAGAGCUGAUCAGAACCUGUUUCCUUAUCCAGGUAAACACCUACACAGA